AUUUGUCUUUCAUGGUGUUGUAGUUCAUUUGGAAAGGGCCGUACUCAGACGCUAAUGAGUUGAUGAUGAACUGCACAAGGAAAUUAUGUUCCACUUUCAUUCCCAAAGACUUAAGUCUUGCUGCUAUGUUUGUCAUUUCAAUGACAUGCUCAUGCAUAGUACGUGAACCAUCAAACUUCAUGGUGGUCAAAGUACCCAUUAGUGUCCUAGCAA
RNAcentral lists this long non-coding RNA (213 nucleotides) under Capsicum annuum. Its description in RNAcentral is "long non-coding RNA (CANN_LNC009356)". The record is from RNAcentral. Lineage: Eukaryota; Viridiplantae; Streptophyta; Magnoliopsida; Solanales; Solanaceae.